CCUACGGGUGGCAGCAGUGAGGAAUAUUGGUCAAUGGACGAGAGUCUGAACCAGCCAAGUAGCGUGAAGGAUGACUGCCCUAUGGGUUGUAAACUUCUUUUAUAUGGGAAUAAAACGUUCCACGUGUGGGAUUUUGUAUGUACCAUAUGAAUAAGGAUCGGCUAACUCCGUGCCAGCAGCCGCGGUAAUACGGAGGAUCCGAGCGUUAUCCGGAUUUAUUGGGUUUAAAGGGAGCGUAGGUGGAUUGUUAAGUCAGUUGUGAAAGUUUGCGGCUCAACCGUAAAAUUGCAGUUGAUACUGGCAGUCUUGAGUACAGUAGAGGUGGGCGGAAUUCGUGGUGUAGCGGUGAAAUGCUUAGAUAUCACGAAGAACUCCGAUUGCGAAGGCAGUUCACUGGACUGCAACUGACACUGAGGCUCGAGAGUGUGGGUAUCAAACAGGAUUAGAUACCCGAGUAGUC
Molecule: ribosomal RNA, 460 nt
Filed under: uncultured bacterium
Lineage: Bacteria
Description: partial 16S ribosomal RNA
Rfam family: Bacterial small subunit ribosomal RNA
Source: RNAcentral